UACAGAGGAGCCAAGCGUUGUCCGGAUUGACUGGGCGUAAAGCGCACGCAGGCGGUCGCGCGCGUGGGGUGUGAAAUCUGGCCGCUUAACGGCCAGGCGCCAUCCCAUACGGCGCGACUGGAGUGAUGCAGAGGUCGGUGGAAUUGCCGGUGUAGUGGUGAAAUGCGUAGAGAUCGGAAAGAACACCAACGGCGAAAGCACUCUGCUGGGCCGACACUGACACUGAGAGACGAAAGCUAGGGGAGCGAAUGGG
Molecule: ribosomal RNA, 253 nt
Filed under: uncultured bacterium
Lineage: Bacteria
Description: partial 16S ribosomal RNA
Rfam family: Bacterial small subunit ribosomal RNA
Source: RNAcentral